GACGAACGCUGGCGGCGUGCUUAACACAUGCAAGUCGAACGGAGAGGCCCUGCUUUUGUGGGGUGCUCGAGUGGCGAACGGGUGAGUAACACGUGAGUAACCUGCCCUUGACUUUGGGAUAACUUCAGGAAACUGGGGCUAAUACCGGAUAGGAGCUCCUGCUGCAUGGUGGGGGUUGGAAAGUUUCGGCGGUUGGGGAUGGACUCGCGGCUUAUCAGCUUGUUGGUGGGGUAGUGGCUUACCAAGGCUUUGACGGGUAGCCGGCCUGAGAGGGUGACCGGCAACAUUGGGACUGAGAUACGGCCCAGACUCCUACGGGAGGCAGCAGUGGGGAAUAUUGCACAAUGGGCGGAAGCCUGAUGCAGCAACGCCGCGUGCGGGAUGACGGCCUUCGGGUUGUAAACCGCUUUCGCCUGUGACGAAGCGUGAGUGACGGUAAUGGGUAAAGAAGCACCGGCUAACUACGUG
Molecule: ribosomal RNA, 468 nt
Filed under: uncultured bacterium
Lineage: Bacteria
Description: partial 16S ribosomal RNA
Rfam family: Bacterial small subunit ribosomal RNA
Source: RNAcentral